GUGCUGGAAGUACUUUGGAAAAUAUAC
RNAcentral lists this non-coding RNA (27 nucleotides) under Cricetulus griseus (Chinese hamster). Lineage: Eukaryota; Metazoa; Chordata; Mammalia; Rodentia; Cricetidae. The record is from RNAcentral.